AUGCAUCCGCUCUACAUAUUGUUACUUGGGCUUCUCUUCUUGCCCACAUCUUGCUGCUCCACAUCUGCAUCCGUAGGUGAUACUCUCGUGGCGGGCCGAGUGCUCACCGUCGGUGAUAAGCUCGUCUCAAGAAACGGCAAGUUCGCGCUUGGAUUCUUCCAGCCAGCGGCAAGCACUAUUAGUAAGUCGUCCCACAACAACUGGUACCUUGGCAUAUGGUUCAAUAAAAUUCCAGUUUUCACUACUGUGUGGGUUGCUAAUAGGGAGAAGCCCAUUGCCCACGCCAACAUUAACUCAACACACCUCAAGAUCUCAAGAAACGACAAUCUUGUCAUUGUCGUAAAACAUGCUAUUGCCGGCACUGAAUCCCUUGUUUGGUCCACUCACAUGGUCAAUUGGACACAAAGUAGCAGCAUAAACACCACCACCACUAGUGUUGCUGUUCUCUUGAACACUGGAAAUCUUGCUGUCAAAGUCACAGAUAGCCCAUCAUCUGACCUACCGUUAUGGCAGAGCUUCGACUAUCCAUUAGAUGUCGGGCUUCCUGGCGCCAAGUUGGGCCGGAACAAGGUCACUGGUUUCAGUCGCCAGUUCAUAUCAAAAAAGAGCCGCAUUGAUCUGGGUCUUGGCUCAUACAGCAUGGAACUAGAAGACACCAGCGGGAUCGUCCUCAAGCGCCGCAACAACCCCUUGGUAAAGUAUCUGGUUUAUGCAACCUCGGGAUCAUCAUCUUUGAUACCAAUGCUCAAGACACUUCUAGAUUUAGAUCCUCGGACCAAAGGUUUGAUUAACCUAACAUAUGUCAAUAACAACCAGGAGGAGUACUACACGUACACUUUACUGGAUGAAUCAUCGUCUUCCAUAUUUGUCUCACUAGACAUCUCUGGUCAGGUUAAGCUGAAUAUUUGGUCACAAGCCAACCAGUCUUGGCAAAUCAUAUAUUCCGAGCCUGCUGAUCCCUGCAGCCCGCCUGCUACGUGCGGGCCUUUCACAGUUUGCAACGGCAUUGCGCAUCCAUCAUGUAUCUGUAUGGAGAGCUUCUCCCAUAAGUCACGACAUGAUUGGGAGUUUGAGGAUCGAACAGGAGGGUGCAUUAGAAACACACCUUUACAUUGCAGCACUAGUGGUAACAAGAAAAACAUGACAAGUUCAACAGACAUGUUCCACCCCAUUGCUCAUGUUGCAUUGCCCUACAACCCACAAAUUAUAGAAGUUGCUACCACUCAGAGCAAAUGUGAAGAAGCAUGUCUCGGUUCUUGCUCCUGCACUGCUUAUUCCUAUAACAACAACAGAUGCUCUGUCUGGCAUGGGGAACUGCUUAGUGUAAAUCUGAAUGAUGGCAUUGAAAAUAAUUCUGAAGAUGUUCUUUACCUUUGCCUUGCUGCCAAAGAUUCGCUACCCGGUUCCAGAAAAAAGAAAAGAAAACCAAAGGUCGGAGUUGUUACUAUUGUAAGUAUUAUUGGUUUUGGGUUAAUAAUGGUCAUGUUGUUGUUACUGAUUUGGAGGAACAAAUUCAAGUGUUGUGGUUUGCCUAUGUAUGACAAUCUAGGUAGUGCUGGUGGAAUUGUAGCCUUCAAAUACACCGACUUGGUUCGUGCUACUAAAAGCUUCUCAAAAAAGCUUGGAGGAGGUGGUUUUGGUUCUGUAUACAAAGGAGUCUUAAAUGACUCGACUAGUAUAGCAGUGAAAAGGCUUGAUGGUGCCUGUCAAGGAGAGAAGCAAUUCAGGGCCGAGGUGAGCUCAAUUGGACUGAUCCAACACAUAAACCUAGUCAAAUUGAUUGGUUUCUGCUGUGAAGGUGAUCACAGAUUACUUGUGUACGAACACAUGUUAAAUGGUUCUCUUGAUGGUCAUCUAUUUAAGACGAGCAAUGCAAAUGUUGUCGUCCUAAAUUGGAACAUCAGAUAUCAGAUAGCCCUAGGAGUUGCUAGAGGAUUGUCCUACUUGCAUCAGGGUUGUCGCAAGUGCAUCAUACACUGCGAUAUUAAGCCAGAGAACAUACUUUUGGAUGCAUCAUUUGUUCCUAAAGUUGCAGACUUUGGGUUGGCAACAUUUGUGGGAAGGGAUUUCAGCCGAAUUCUUACUUCAUUCAGAGGAACUGUGGGUUAUCUUGCCCCAGAGUGGCUUACUGGAGUGGCGAUCACACCGAAAGUCGACGUUUACGGCUUCGGCAUGGUGCUAUUUGAAAUCAUAUCAGGAAGGAGGAAUUCUUCACCUGAAACAUCGUACAACACUAGCAGCAACUACAGUGACCAGAAUAUUGAAUACUUCCCUGUGCAAGCCAUCAGCAAGCUUCACGGUGGAGAUUUGAAGAGUUUGGUAGAUCCGCAGUUACAUGGUGUUUUCAAUUUGGAAGAGGCUGAAAGGGUUUGCAAAGUUGCAUGUUGGUGCAUCCAAGAUAAUGAAUUCGAUCGGCCAAUAAUGGGUGAAGUUGUCCGGGUUCUUGAGGGUCAACAGGACAUUGAUGUUCCUCCAAUGCCAAGAUUGCUUGCAGCUAUAACAGAACAAUCUGGUGUCGCAACUUCAAUGUAA
RNAcentral lists this ribosomal RNA (2532 nucleotides) under Triticum aestivum (bread wheat). Its description in RNAcentral is "partial small subunit ribosomal RNA". Lineage: Eukaryota; Viridiplantae; Streptophyta; Magnoliopsida; Poales; Poaceae. The record is from RNAcentral.